RNAcentral lists this ribosomal RNA (365 nucleotides) under uncultured bacterium. RNAcentral's name for it is "bacterial SSU rRNA". It matches the Rfam family "Bacterial small subunit ribosomal RNA", at positions 335 to 691 of the family's 1533-position model. The record is from RNAcentral.
ACUCCUACGGGAGGCAGCAGUGGGGAAUAUUGCACAAUGGGGGAAACCCUGAUGCAGCCAUGCCGCGUGUGUGAAGAAGGCCUUCGGGUUGUAAAGCACUUUCAGUAGGGAGGAAGGUAGUGUAGUUAACACCUGCCAUUAUUUGACGUUACCUACAGAAGAAGCACCGGCUAACUCCGUGCCAGCAGCCGCGGUAAUACGGAGGGUGCGAGCGUUAAUCGGAAUUACUGGGCGUAAAGCGCAUGCAGGCGGCCUGUUAAGUCAGAUGUGAAAGCCCGGGGCUUAACCUCGGAAUUGCAUUUGAAACUGGCAGGCUAGAGUCUUGUAGAGGGGUUAGAAGUUUCAGGUGUAGCGGUGAAAUGCGU